GUCAAAAUGGGCUAGACAAAUGUCUGGCAGGGAUGGCUGAAGAAUGAUUUCCUUUCCUAUGGAAGAAAAGAUAGGUAAGGCAACGGGGUUCAUAAUUUAGUGUAGUCAGGCAUCUAUUUUCUGUUUGCUUGGAAGUAAGGGUCCAAACAGGACCACAUGCAUGAUCACCUCUAGUCCUAUGUUCCUUUUCAGAAGGGAA
Oxyura jamaicensis (ruddy duck) is the source of this 199-nucleotide long non-coding RNA. RefSeq lists it as uncharacterized. The transcript has 2 exons. The record is from RefSeq and is a predicted model, not a curated record. NCBI's taxonomy places the organism in Eukaryota, Metazoa, Chordata, Aves, Anseriformes, Anatidae.